AAUUGGAAUCCAUAAUAAAUUCCGAUUCUUCUUUGGUACUUGAUCAAUUUCACAAAUUAAAUACUCCGUAGUAAUUUUUCUUGUCGGCCACCACCGCAAUUUAAACGUCUGAUUCUAAACAAGUCCUCAAUCCUCUUUUCCCGAUUGCCAAAAAUCUCCGUUGUUAACAUCAGAGAAAAUUGUGGUAGAAUUUCGCAGUUUUAGCCGUUGAAGAACAAUAAUGCUUUGGGCACGAAAUUGACUAGGUGAAUUUUAUACUGUUUGGCAAAUUGAGGGCAAAAUAGAGAAUAAAUGGCGGCGGUGGCUAAUCAGACCUUCAGUUUCUCUAAGCUGUCGAGGUCAAGACACGUCAAUCCAUUGGCACCUCCGGCGGCGGCGUUUCAGAGCUGCGGAGGUAGGAAGCUCGAGGUUUGCGGUGGCGCUGCCGCGAGAUCGAGAUUCGUGUCGCCAAUUAGGGCAAUGGAAAAUUCGCGCCGCGAGAUCGAGAAUCGUGCGACGAAGCACGCCAACGGCGCGGCAAAUCAAUCUCUGGUCGAUUCCGCCGCCGGAGGUAAAAAAACUGUUGAGGUGGGUACAGUAGGGAAUUCUACGAAUAUUGCGUG
Long non-coding RNA from Salvia splendens (bonfire salvia), 602 nucleotides. RefSeq lists it as uncharacterized. Lineage: Eukaryota; Viridiplantae; Streptophyta; Magnoliopsida; Lamiales; Lamiaceae. The record is from RefSeq and is a predicted model, not a curated record. The transcript has 3 exons.